RNAcentral lists this ribosomal RNA (509 nucleotides) under uncultured bacterium. Its description in RNAcentral is "bacterial SSU rRNA". It matches the Rfam family "Bacterial small subunit ribosomal RNA", at positions 8 to 518 of the family's 1533-position model. The record is from RNAcentral.
AGGGUUCGAUUCUGGCUCAGGAUGAACGCUGGCGGCGUGCUUAACACAUGCAAGUCGAGCGAAGCAUUUCGCUGAUUCUUCGGAUUGAAGCGGAUCUGACUUAGCGGCGGACGGGUGAGUAACGCGUGGGUAACCUGCCUCUAUCAGGGGGAUAACAGUUAGAAAUGACUGCUAAUACCGCAUAAGCGCACAGUACCGCAUGGUACCGUGUGAAAAACUCCGGUGGAUAGAGAUGGACCCGCGUCGGAUUAGCCAGUUGGCGGGGUAACGGCCCACCAAAGCGACGAUCCGUAGCCGGCCUGAGAGGGCGACCGGCCACAUUGGGACUGAGACACGGCCCAAACUCCUACGGGAGGCAGCAGUGGGGAAUAUUGCACAAUGGGGGAAACCCUGAUGCCAGCGACGCCGCGUGAGUGAUGAAGUAUUUCGGUACGUAAAGCUCUAUCAGCAGGGAAGAAGACGACGGUACCUGACUAAGAGGCCCCGGCUAACUACGUGCCAGCAGCUGC